UUCUUACGAAGGUAUGCUUAAAGAGGGGCUUGCGCCACAUUAGUUAGUUGGUAGAGUAAAAGCCUACCAAGACGAUGAUGUGUAGCUGGACUGAGAGGUUGAACAGCCACAUUGGGACUGAGACACGGCCCAAACUCCUACGGGAGGCAGCAGUAGGGAAUUUUCGGCAAUGGAGGAAACUCUGACCGAGCAACGCCGCGUGAACGAUGAAGUAUUUCGGUAUGUAAAGUUCUUUUAUUGAAGAAGAAAAAGUAGUGGAAAAACUAUAUUGACGUUAUUCAAUGAAUAAGCCCCGGCUAACUAUGUGCCAGCAGCCGCGGUAAGACAUAGGGGGCGAGCGUUAUCCGGAAUUAUUGGGCGUAAAGGGUGCGUAGGCUGUUAGAUAAGUCUAUAAUUUAAUUUCAGUGCUUAACGCUGUCUUGUUAUAGAAACUGUCUUGACUAGAGUGAGAUAGAGGCAAGCGGAAUUCCAUGUGUAGCGGUAAAAUGUGUAAAUAUAUGGAGGAACACCAGAAGCGUAGGCGGCUUGCUGGGUCUUUACUGACGCUGAGGCACGAAAGCGUGGGUAGCAAACAGGAUUAGAUACCCUGGUAGUCCACGCCGUAAACGAUGAGUACUAAGUGUCGGGGUAAAACUCGGUACUGAAGUUAACACAUUAAGUACUCCGCCUGAGUAGUACGUACGCAAGUAUGAAACUUAAAGGAAUUGACGGGACUCCGCACAAGCGGUGGAUCAUGUUGUUUAAUUCGAAGAUACACGAAAAAUCUUACCAGGUCUUGACAUACUCUGCAAAGCUAUAGAAAUAUAGUGGAGGUUAUCAGGGAUACAGGUGGUGCAUGGUUGUCGUCAGUUCGUGUCGUGAGAUGUUAGGUUAAGUCCUAAAACGAACGCAACCCUUGUCGUUAAUUGCCAGCACAUAAUGGUGGGGACUUUAACGAGACUGCCAAUUAAACAUUGGAGGAAGGUGAGGAUUACGUCAAAUCAUCAUGCCCCUUAUGAUCUGGGCUACAAACGUGAUACAAUGGCUGUGACAAAGAGUAGCUGAAACGCGAGUUUUUAGCCAAUCUCAAAAAAGCAGUCUCAGUUCGGAUUGAAGUCUGUAACUCGACUUCAUGAAGUUGGAAUCGCUAGUAAUCGCGAAUCAGCAUGUCGCGGUGAAUACGUUCUCGGGGUUUGUACACACCGCCCGUCAAACCACGAAAGUUAGCAAUGCCCGAAAGCAGUAGCUUAACUUCGCAAGAAGAGGGAACUGUCUAAGGUAGGGUUGA
RNAcentral lists this ribosomal RNA (1267 nucleotides) under Candidatus Phytoplasma trifolii. RNAcentral's name for it is "bacterial SSU rRNA". It matches the Rfam family "Bacterial small subunit ribosomal RNA", at positions 195 to 1471 of the family's 1533-position model. The record is from RNAcentral. Lineage: Bacteria; Bacillati; Mycoplasmatota; Mollicutes; Acholeplasmatales; Acholeplasmataceae.